RNAcentral lists this transfer RNA (72 nucleotides) under Phrynosoma platyrhinos (Desert horned lizard). RNAcentral describes it as "tRNA-OTHER". Lineage: Eukaryota; Metazoa; Chordata; Lepidosauria; Squamata; Phrynosomatidae. The record is from RNAcentral.
GCCAGUAUGGUGUAGUGGUUUGAGUGCUGGACUAUGACUCUGGAAACCAGGGUUUGAUUCCUUGCUCAGUCA